This 301-nucleotide ribosomal RNA is filed under the name uncultured bacterium. RNAcentral's name for it is "partial 16S ribosomal RNA". It matches the Rfam family "Bacterial small subunit ribosomal RNA", at positions 509 to 807 of the family's 1533-position model. The record is from RNAcentral.
CAGCAGCCACGGGAAUACGAAGGGUGCAAGCGUUAAUCGGAAUUACUGGGCGUAAAGCGUGCGUAGGCGGUGAGUUAAGUCUGCUGUGAAAUCCCCGGGCUCAACCUGGGAAUGGCAGUGGAUACUGGCUCGCUAGAGUGUGUCAGAGGAUGGUGGAAUUCCCGGUGUAGCGGUGAAAUGCGUAGAGAUCGGGAGGAACAUCAGUGGCGAAGGCGGCCAUCUGGGACAACACUGGCGCUGAGGCACGAAAGCGUGGGGAGCAAACAGGAUUAGAUACCCCAGUAGUCCCUGUCUCUUAUAC